AUCAUUAAUGAGAUCUGUAACUUCCUGCUACAAAAACAUAGCCACCGCUGGGUGCACUAGUCUUUAUUUUGGCCUGAGUACCACACCAAAUAGUGUGUCCCUCAGGGUCUCGUCUUUGUGUUUGCAGAUGAUGUGGUUCUGUUGGUGUCCUGGGGUCAUGACCUUCUGGAGGGUGAAGCGGUUGGGAUGAGAUCCGGCUCCUCCAAGUCCGAGCUUCACCUCCGACUGAAAGGAGGAUGUGCUCAGGUUUGUUCUGCUGCGUCACACGUUCUGUCACCAUCUGCUGCAAGUCCAGGUUCACCAGCUUUACACCCAAGAAAAGGUGCAAAUUACAUCCAUUCAGGACCAGACCAGGGCGCGAGUCUGAUGACAUCAUCGACGGCUGGCAGUGUUUGAGUCCCGUGCCACUCUUCUUCAUCUCAGUUUUCCUAAGUUUGGCCACGCCCCCACUCACCUGUUCUCCAUCAGCAUUCAUCUCAGGUGUCUCCUCUUCCUCAUCAUUCACACCGGCCCAGUUUCCUUCUGAUCUUCUUGUCUUUAUAAACACCAAGAACCUGAAGCCUGCAGUGACUCUGCCAGGCCUGAAGGUGGCGCUGUAACGUUUCUGCACCACAAACAGGAAACCAGCCGUGGAGCAUGAAACAAGAAAAGCGUCGUUUUCAAAGGUUUUCCUGUCUACGUACAAGGGCAGCUCAUCGGCCUCCCGGAGGAGCCGUUAAAUCAUCCUGAUGAGCCAAGACGAGCGCUGUAACCCCCCGACCACCUCUCUCUGGCUCCGCCCCUUUUCUCAAAGCCCAUCUCUCAGACGUUUGCUAAUAAACAGCAGGUCAGCACCUGCAGUGGCAGCUGAU
Austrofundulus limnaeus is the source of this 851-nucleotide long non-coding RNA. RefSeq lists it as uncharacterized. Lineage: Eukaryota; Metazoa; Chordata; Actinopteri; Cyprinodontiformes; Rivulidae. The record is from RefSeq and is a predicted model, not a curated record. The transcript is spliced from 5 exons.